CACACCUCUGAAUCACAAGUCAAUCUCCCCAGUCGCUCAUACCUCUGGAAACAUCUGCAGCCUCCAAGUCAGGCAUCAUCUCGGAGAGACCCGGGAGUUUUCUUCUUUUUUGGAGAGGUUUUUUUUUGCUGGUGGCGCUCAUGCACACUGACUGGUAGAGCUAUACACCAAAAAGAGAGCAGGAGCUGGGAAGGUGUAGUUGCAUUCCGACGCUCAGCAUUGUCGCCUCACCUGCAGGAGGUCCGCUGUGUGUAAUAAUGCAUACAGAGAAGUACUUACCUGAACUGGUGGCCGAGAAAAGCGGCUUGGACCCCUCCUUUGUGCAUGCGGUGCGCCUGCUUGCAGAAGAGAUUGAAAAGAAUGAAGGUGAUGAAUUGAGAAAAGAUGGUGACACGAAGAAAUACCUAGAUAUCAUCAGCAAUAAAAAUAUCAAGCUCUCCGAAAGAGUUCUCAUUCCAAUCCAACAGUAUCCAAAGUUUAAUUUUGUCGGGAAGCUGCUGGGACCACGGGGAAAUUCCAUGAAACGAUUACAAGAGGAGACGGGAGUGAAGAUGUCCAUCCUCGGCAAAGGGUCCAUGAGGGAUAAAGGCAAGGAAGAAGAGUUAAGGAAAAGCGGCGAGGCCAAAUACGCCCAUCUGAGUAAUGAUCUUCAUGUUUUAAUUGAAGUCUUCGCUCCACCUGGAGAGGCCUAUUCCCGCAUGAGUCACGCCUUGGAGGAGAUUAAAAAAUUCCUAGUUCCAGACUACAACGACGAGAUCAGACAGGAGCAACUGAGAGAGCUCUCCCUGCUGAACGGCUCCGACGAGUCGAGCAGAGGGAGGAGUGCGCCAGGAAGGAGUGCACGACCAGCGACCACAAUAUCCACGGGGGGCAACAGAGGCACAGGAAGGAGCGCAGCGGCGCCUCGGGGGACGGCGGCAGCGACGCACAGCAAACUUCCCACGACUGCUUUAACGAGGGAGGUACAAGCCCCGAGAGCCAGGGGGGCAGCAGGGAGCGCAGGAUACAGACCCCCGCUGUUAGGAGUCACACAUGAAUCAUACGACGACUAUGGCUACGAUGAUGGGUAUGGUGGAGAAUAUGAUGACGAGAGUUACGAAGCCUAUGAGGAUAACUACAGCAAUCAGUCAAAGAGCAUUUCAGAUUAUUAUGAAUAUGGACACAGUGAUGAACCCUACAACAACUAUGAGGAGGAGUGGGCGACAACCCGUCCCAGUCUCAAAGCCCCAGUUUUACGGCUGACGAGAGGGGGCUACAGGAAACAUCCCUAUGGUAGAUACUGAAGUUAAAGAAACACACUAUUGUGUGAUUUGGUCAAAGCAGAGACGAAUGUAACAGAGCAGAAGGCACGGGAAUCUGCUCCCAGAGGACUGAAGACUGUACUCAGCCAUCAGACAUGUUCGAGCCCUUCAUCAGUCAGGAAAGUAGCUCGAGAUGAGAGGAAAGAUGAUGGAACAGGAAACAUGACGGCAAAGACAAAUGACUCACAGGUUGUUGAGUGUUAUGAAGACAACAACGAGUCCCAUUUCUGAUACACAAUAAAAUUUUAACAUUGUGCUAAAGAAUAGAAGUGUUACAUUCUUUUGACACAUGUAAAAAUGUCUUACGGUUAGCACAUUUUCAUUUCAACCAUAAUCUACACCAGGUGACAUUCUAUAGAAAUGUGUUUUUUUUAGCUUAAUGUCACUUCUGUUCGGCUUUAUCAUAACAAUAUUUUGUAUUUUGUGUCGGAUGUUACGGCCUAAAGUAAAAGCACUUAACAUUAGAAAUAUACUCUAUAAGCAAAUCUCGACGUGACUGCACUUUUUUUUUAAUGGUGUUGUCAUCUGGCGGCUGCUGUCAUUACCAACCCGAGUGCACCCUGUGUCUGUUCCCAGCUCACUAAUAAAUGGUUCACUUAGUGCUGCCAACAUGAACAUGUUAGUUCAUUAAACAAGUCGAGCCCACUGCUGCCGUUCUGGCCAACUGUCACAGCUACUUUACGAGCCCAACCCGUCAGAGCCGACGGAAUAUACUUCAACAGCCAGACGCGGCUCACACCUCGUGGCAUUUUCCGAGUGGUAGUCACAAUGAACGGCGCCGUCUGCCUGCAGCUCUAUAUAAGGUACGCAGUGAUUAACAAGUGAGAUUGAUGGAAGCAAUACAACCGUUCAAAUUAAUGUGCAUGAAUGUCUUCUUUCUGAAUUUGUUUGUUCAUAUCUAAUAUACAAAACAAUAAAUCGCUAGCCUCGUAAAACCAGGCGUGUCUUAGCUUCUCGCAAAACAUGAACAACUCACAGAGUCCGAUUCCAUGCAGAUGAUCAUCCAUUGCUUAUCUUUUUUGGGUGAAAAAGGGAUUUUAAAGAAUCUGCUCAAUUGUGGAGCAGACUCAUUUCAUCAAAAAACACCCAUCCCUGAAUCUGGCAUUUUGUUUAAUUCAUCCGCUCCAUUACGUACACUCCACACAGGCUGUCAAACAGCGUAGCGUUUAUCUUCCUCAAUAUCACUUGAUCUAAAUAUUUGAAACACAAAGACACCAAAGUGGGUCAGGAGCUAGGCGAGUACCCAGAAAUGUUCAAUCAUGCAAAACAGUGCAUGGCUAUAACUCUAACACACAGUAUUUCCCCCAGCCAGGGACGGGUACCUGAGCAAACUCAGCUCUGUUUAGACAGCUGCUUGAUGAGCCAGAAUAGAAAAUGAGGGUUUAUAAUCACGUCUAAAAAAGGGGCCUCUUCACCGGCACAGCACUCGUGAUGAAAUGGUGUGCAGAGACAGAGUCCUUGACGUGUUUUGAUGAUUUUCAUGUUGUUCCCCUUGCGACAGCAGGCUGGGAUCUAAGCCAGGUGACAGCAGGUGAGGAUGUAUAGCUUGAGCUGCAGUUUUGAGGAAGUUCUACUGUAGACACACUACUACACUGUAUCUGAUCUUAGCUCCCUUUUGCAGGAUAAAGCCGGCCCCCUCCAGCUCAUUAGAGCUAUUUUUGGAGAGAAGAUAAGUUUUGACAUGUUGUGUUGCUUUGUGCGUGUGGAUGAACUAAGCAGCGAGUGAACUGGGUUAACUAUGUUUACUGAUGAAGUCUAGUACACAAAACGUCUACACAAAUAUAGAGCUGGUUUGACGCGCAAGAUUUGUUUUUGGGGAAAUGUUUUGCAGGAUGUAGCUUUCCCUGGAACAUUUGUAACAAGAUUACAGCCUAUUUUAAAAAAAAAAAAAAAAAAGCAUGUCCCCCAAGAAAUACAAUAUUCCACCGGAAAAAGAUAAAAUUGACCCAUUAUCAUAACUGUUUGGUCUCAAGGUGUGAUUUGCAGGAGUCUCUCUCAAGGAAAAGCAAACCAAUUCUCUCUGAAUAAUGUCUUCAAACAGUGGAGUCGGAGUCUGUUUCCAUUGAGAGUGUUUUCAUGCAUAAUGCAGAUACAAGCUGCUAAAUACAUCUCCAUAUUCAGAUUACAAACAGCUAUUUAUGAAUAAACAUAAUAUGCUUAAUAAUGAGCUUCAUGCAGAAGUGAACAGGAUAAGAUGUUUAUAUGCCACAGUAUCCUUGCUAAUGACGGUAGAAGAUCCAUAGCUUCUGUAUGUUUUCCACCAAAUCUGAAUAGGAUUUAGUGUGAUAUUAGUGCUACCUAUAGUUAGGGGUGUUAGAAAACCUAAGGAAUCCAUUGGUAACAACCAUGUCAUAGUAGCUUGUUGCGGAGGAGGCAAAAUAACGCU
This is an RNA transcript of Sebastes umbrosus (honeycomb rockfish), 3687 nucleotides long. It is a transcript of the gene named KH domain containing, RNA binding, signal transduction associated 2, with no coding region annotated. NCBI's taxonomy places the organism in Eukaryota, Metazoa, Chordata, Actinopteri, Perciformes, Sebastidae. The record is from RefSeq and is a predicted model, not a curated record. The transcript has 13 exons.